RNAcentral lists this ribosomal RNA (377 nucleotides) under uncultured eukaryote. Its description in RNAcentral is "partial 18S ribosomal RNA". It matches the Rfam family "Eukaryotic small subunit ribosomal RNA", at positions 592 to 976 of the family's 1831-position model. The record is from RNAcentral.
CAAUAGCGUAUAUUAAAGUUGUUGCAGUUAAAAAGCUCGUAGUUGGAUUUCGGGGCAGCCUGGCUGGUCCGCCGCAAGGCGAGUACUGGUCAGCCGCCCUUCCUCUCGAAAGCCCCGACUGCUCUUUAUUGCAGUGGUCGGGUAGUUCGGGACGUUUACUUUGAAAAAAUUAGAGUGUUCAAGGCAGGCCUACGCCUGAAUACAUUAGCAUGGAAUAAUGGAAGAGGACCUCGGUCCUAUUUUGUUGGUUUCCAGGACCGAAGUAAUGAUUAAGAGGGACAGUUGGGGGCAUUCAUAUUUAAUUGUCAGAGGUGAAAUUCUCGGAUUUAUGAAAGACGAACAACUGCGAAAGCAUUUGCCAAGGAUGUUUUCAUUAA